This 68-nucleotide transfer RNA is filed under the name Neotetracus sinensis (Shrew gymnure). RNAcentral's name for it is "tRNA-Tyr". It matches the Rfam family "tRNA". Rfam says of the family: Transfer RNA (tRNA) molecules are approximately 80 nucleotides in length. Their secondary structure includes four short double-helical elements and three loops (D, anti-codon, and T loops). The record is from RNAcentral. Lineage: Eukaryota; Metazoa; Chordata; Mammalia; Eulipotyphla; Erinaceidae.
GGUAAAAUGGCUGAGUAGUAAGCAUUAGACUGUAAAUCUAAGGACAGAGGGAUUGCCUCUUUUUACCA